This 253-nucleotide ribosomal RNA is filed under the name uncultured bacterium. RNAcentral's name for it is "partial 16S ribosomal RNA". It matches the Rfam family "Bacterial small subunit ribosomal RNA", at positions 524 to 776 of the family's 1533-position model. The record is from RNAcentral.
UACGGAGGGAGCUAGCGUUGUUCGGAAUUACUGGGCGUAAAGCGCACGUAGGCGGCGAUUCAAGUCAGAGGUGAAAGCCCGGGGCUCAACCCCGGAACUGCCUUUGAAACUAGAUUGCUAGAAUCCUGGAGAGGUUAGUGGAAUUCCGAGUGUAGAGGUGAAAUUCGUAGAUAUUCGGAAGAACACCAGUGGCGAAGGCGGCUCACUGGCCCGGUACUGACGCUGAUGUGCGAAAGCGUGGGGAGCAAACAGG